RNAcentral lists this ribosomal RNA (620 nucleotides) under Bacillus siamensis. RNAcentral's name for it is "bacterial SSU rRNA". It matches the Rfam family "Bacterial small subunit ribosomal RNA", at positions 77 to 681 of the family's 1533-position model. The record is from RNAcentral. Lineage: Bacteria; Bacillati; Bacillota; Bacilli; Caryophanales; Bacillaceae.
AGCUUGCUCCCUGAUGUUAGCGGCGGACGGGUGAGUAACACGUGGGUAACCUGCCUGUAAGACUGGGAUAACUCCGGGAAACCGGGGCUAAUACCGGAUGGUUGUCUGAACCGCAUGGUUCAGACAUAAAAGGUGGCUUCGGCUACCACUUACAGAUGGACCCGCGGCGCAUUAGCUAGUUGGUGAGGUAACGGCUCACCAAGGCGACGAUGCGUAGCCGACCUGAGAGGGUGAUCGGCCACACUGGGACUGAGACACGGCCCAGACUCCUACGGGAGGCAGCAGUAGGGAAUCUUCCGCAAUGGACGAAAGUCUGACGGAGCAACGCCGCGUGAGUGAUGAAGGUUUUCGGAUCGUAAAGCUCUGUUGUUAGGGAAGAACAAGUGCCGUUCAAAUAGGGCGGCACCUUGACGGUACCUAACCAGAAAGCCACGGCUAACUACGUGCCAGCAGCCGCGGUAAUACGUAGGUGGCAAGCGUUGUCCGGAAUUAUUGGGCGUAAAGGGCUCGCAGGCGGUUUCUUAAGUCUGAUGUGAAAGCCCCCGGCUCAACCGGGGAGGGUCAUUGGAAACUGGGGAACUUGAGUGCAGAAGAGGAGAGUGGAAUUCCACGUGUAGCGG